Molecule: long non-coding RNA, 596 nt
Organism: Canis lupus familiaris (dog)
Lineage: Eukaryota; Metazoa; Chordata; Mammalia; Carnivora; Canidae
Exons: 5
Source: RefSeq, a predicted model, not a curated record
UUCCUUCCCUUCUUCCCCUCCUCCAUCCCACCCUUCUUUCCUCAAAUCCCAAACCUCUAGUAUUCCAGCUUCUGUGCUGAGUUUGGCUAUGUGGUGGUAAAGAAAACCUCUGGGAUUCUUGCCCUCAUGAAGUUCAUAGCUAAGCUUGAGUAAUUUCUGUAGAACUUUGAUAUUUUCUUCUGUAUCUUCCUCUACAAAUGCUUAUCAUUGCUUAGCAAGGUGCUGUAUUACAUAAGUAGGUUCUUUGAAAAGGCAUAAUACCUUCCAGUUCCAACCACACUGAAGCAAAUGAACAUCUGGCAGGAUGAUCAUUUUCUGAAAGUAUUUUGGAAAACACCGAUGAGGAGCUACAACUGGGUGACUCCGGGAAGUCAGCCAGCAAGAUAUAAGAUUAUCUAUAGACUUCCUAUAUGAUAGCUGAAAAUUUAGCUCUCUUACAAGACCCAUUCCUGGAUAACUCCAUUAACAAGUUCUUCCUUUUUUGCUAUUAUUUGAAUUUACCUGGCCUGUGGUUGCCCAGUUAAAGCCUACAUUUUCCAGCUUCCUUUGCAACUAAAUGUGACCAUGUGACCAGGUAUUGACCAAUAGAAUGAGAG